Molecule: RNA transcript, 6804 nt
Organism: Homo sapiens (human)
Lineage: Eukaryota; Metazoa; Chordata; Mammalia; Primates; Hominidae
Gene: LRRC37A8P
Gene name: leucine rich repeat containing 37 member A8, pseudogene
Exons: 1
Source: RefSeq, marked validated
AAUGUCCCCUGAGAAGUUUAACCAUUUGAAAGAUGCACAAGAGAUUAUCAUUCAGCAGUUAACUACCCCUGAAAAUGAUGAACUUUCUCCACUUGCUCAAAAGCCCACAACUUGGUCUCCAGCUCAGCUCUCCUCAGACAUUGUAAGUCCAUUGAAUGAUGAGAUGGAAUUUUUCACCUGAAGAUCUGUCUUCAAUAUUCAGAAAUAAUUCAACUUUGCCUAAAAUCACAGUUAAAAAUGUGGAUAUAGAGUUUACCAUACCUACAGCAGUCACUAUAGAGGUUGAACCUUCUCCAGUCCAGCAGGACAACCCUCCUAUUUCCAGUGAGCAGGCUGACUUUUCUCUAGCCCAGCCUGAUUCCCCUUCCCUACCUCUGGAGUCUCCUGAAGAGAGUGAAUCUUCAGCCCAGCAAGAGGCUACAGCUCAGACUCCAAAUCCCCCUAAGGAGGUAGAACCUUCUCCAGUCCAGCAAGAGUUUCCAGCUGAGCCAACAGAGCCUGCUAAGGAGGUUGAACCAUCUGCAACCCAGCAGGAAGCCUCAGGUCAUCCUCUGAAGUCCACAAAAGAGGUCAAUCCUCCACCAAAGCAGGAGAUACCAGCUCAGCCAUCAGAGCCACCUGAGAAGGUUGAACUAUCUCCAGUCCUACAGCAGGCCCCAACUCAGCUUUUAGAGCCACUUAAAAAGGUAGAAUGCUCUCCAGUCCAGCAGGCAGUCCCUGCUCAGUCUUCAGAGCCCUCUAUUGUGGUAGAACCCUCUCCAGUCCAGCAGAUAGCCCAUCUUUGCCUCCAGAGCUCCCUCAGGAAGUGGAACCCUCUCUAACUCAGCAAAACUUUCCAGCUCAGACUCCAUACCCCCUAUGGAGGCAGAGCCUUCUCCAAACCAGCAGGAGGCCACAGUUCAGGCUUCAGAGCCCCCCAAGAAUAUAGAACUUUCAAGCCAGCAGAUGGUCCCAGGUCAGCUUCCAGAGCCACCUAAGCGGGUUGCAGCUCAACAUCCAAUGCAUUAUGAGAUGAUAAUUUCAACAGCAAGGCAGGACCAGGCUCAGUAUCCAGUGUCACCCAGUGUCACAUUUCAACCUUUAGACCUAGGGCUUACUAUAACUCCAGUAUCCACAAAGGAGGCUGAGCAUUCGACAACCCUGAGAAAAACUGCAGUUCCUCCAAAACACCCUGAAGUGACUCUUGCAACUCCAGACCAUGUGCAGGCUCAGCACACAAACCUAACUGAGGUCACAGUUUAAACUUUGGAUCUGAAACUUACCACAACUCCACAACCUACUGCAGAGAAUAUAUUUCCUCCAACCAUGGAGAACUCAAAUCAACUUCCAGAACCACCUACGGAGGUUGUAGCUCAACUUCCACCUCGUUAUGAGGUGACAAUUCCAACACAAGGUCAGGAUCAAGCUCAGCUUUCAACACUGGCCAGUGUCACACUUCAACCUUUGGACCUGGGGUUUAUCAUCACUCCAGAAUCCACUACAGAAAUUGAACUUUCUCCAACCAUGCAGGAGACCCCAACUCAGCCUCCUAAGGAAUUUGUACCCCAACCUCCAGUAUAUCAAGAGGUGAGUGUUCCAACACCGGGUCAGGAUCAAGCUCAGCAUCCAAUGUCACCUAGCGUUACAGUUCAACCUCUGGACCUGGUGGACUUACCAUAACUCCAGAACCCACUACAGAGGUUGAACAUUCUACACCCCUGAAAAAGACUACAGUUCCUCCAAAGCACCCUGAGAUGACACUUCCACAUCCACACCAGGUUCAGACUCUACAUUCAAACCUGAUUCAAGUCACAGUUCAACCUUUGGGUCUGAAACUUACCUUAACUCUAUGGAGGUUGAAUCCUCUAUGGAGGUUGAGCCUUCUCCAACCAUGCAGAAGACCCCAACUCGGCCUCCAGAGCUACCUAAGGAGUUUGUAGCUCAACCGCCUGUGUAUUAUUAUCAGAUACCCAUUCCAACACCAAGCCAAGAUCAAGCUCUGCCCUUCUACAGCCCCGAUGACUACAGCUCCUCCUCCAAAGCAUCCUGAAAUGACACAUCCACCUCCAGACAAGAACCAGGCUCAGCAUCCAAACCUGACUCAAUUCACAGUUCAAUCUUUGGACCUGGAGCUUACCAUAACUACAGAACCUACUACAGAGGUUAAAACUUCUCCAACCAUGGAGGAGACCUCAACUCAGCCUUCAGACCUGGGAUUUGCCAUAGUUCCAGAACUCACCAUAGAGACUGAACAUUCUACAGGCCUGGACAAGACUACAGCUCCACAUCCAGACCAAGUUCAGACUCAGCAUUGAAACCUGACUGAAGUCACACAUUUCACCUUCUGAACUAGAACCUACUCAGAAUUCACUGGUGCAGUCUGAAAGUUAUGCCCAAAAUAAGGCUUUAACUGCACAGGAGGAACCGAAGGCCUCUACAAGCACCAACAUAUGUGAUCUCUAUACCUGCAGAGAUGAAACACUCUCAUGUAUUGAUCUCAGCCCAAAGCAGAGGCUCCACCAAGUGCCUGUACCAGAGCCCAGCACCUGCAAUGACACCUUCACCAUCCUGUGAGAAUCGUCUUUCCUCAAUUGUUCUGUGUCCUGCCUGACAUGACAGCCUUUUCGUGGAGGCCUUCCUGGGCCUCCUUUAUCUCACCAAACCGAACUGACAACGGACUUUCUGCUUUCACCUUUCUUGUCAAUUCUUCCUUCUCCUGGUUCUCCUUUACUGUUAGGCCCCUUCUCUGGUCUUUUACUUGUGAUUGCUCUUAACCCUUUUCUUAUCCACUUUCCUUUAGCCCCAUCACAUCAUUGCUUAACAGCGGCUCUCCUCCCAUUUUCACUUCACCCUCUUUACAGCAGCCUGUCCCUCUUCCCAUCUCAGUGAUGAUGCUCUAAGUGGUUAAGAGUUGAUUCUGUAGCCAGGCUGCCUGGGUUUGAACCCAGGUCUGUCAUUUAUUAGCUUGGUUACCCUGAGCAAGUUAUUCUUCUCUGUGACUCAGUUUCCUCGUCUUUAAACUGGGGAUUAUGCUAGUUACCAUGCCAUAGGAUUGUUGUGAGAUUUAAGUGAGUGCAUACAUGUAUUGCUUACAUCGGUGCCUAGCAUAUGUGGGAGUGUUGGCUGCUAACAUGAUUACUCAGUCCUUUAGUUAUGUCCAGAACGCAUCUUUGUCCCUGGCUUUCUAUCUGUAGCAGUCGUUUUCUGUCAACCCUUGGCCAAGUAUGAUACUGUCUUCAGAAAUGAAAAUGAUAGGAGGGAAGAAAGAGACUAGGCAUGAAAAGGAGGUAUAUAUAAUGAAAUACUACAAGAUAAUGCAGACCAUCGGUGCUAGGAUUCACCAGAAUCUGUGAUCCUUGAGGUGUGGAGAUCAGGGAAAGCUACAUCAAUAAGCUAAAACUUACUUGGGACUUAAAGUGUAGCUAUAAUUUGUUAAAUAGAAAACAAAUGGGAGUACAGUCUAGGCAAAGUCAUGAUUACAGGUAUGGUUGAAAUUUGGUAGACAAGGCUGCAGCUCAGCCUCCAGAGAACCCCAGGGAGGUGGACUCUUCCUCAACCCAAUUAGAGGGCCCAGCUCAGACACCAGAGUGCACUGAGGAGAUGAAAUAUUUUGCCCCCAGCAGGGGACCCCAGCUGAGCCUCCAGGUCCUCCUGUGGAGGCUGAACCUUCCCCCAGUCAGCAGGAGCAGCCAGCUCAGCCUUCUGAGUUUUCUGGGGAGGUGGAAUUUUCUCAGACCCAGGAGACCCCCAACUCUGCCUCCAGAGUCUUCUAUAGAGAGUGUAGCUCAAACUCCACUGAAUCAUGAAGUGACAGUUCAAACUCAGGGUGAGGAUCAAGCUCAUUAUACCUUGCCGAGCAUUACAGUUAAACCUGCAGAUGUAGAGAUUAGCAUAACUUCAGAGCCUACCACGGACACUGACUCUUCUCCAGCCCAGCAGGCGGCCCCAAACCAGCAUCCAGAGCAGGUGUAACCUUCUGCAACCCAACAGGAGGCCACAACUGAGCCUCCAGGUCCUCAUGUGAAUGCUGAACAUUCCCCAGUGAGCAGGAGCAGCCAGGUCUGCCUUCUGGGUUUUCUGGAGAAGUUGAGUCCUCUCUAGCCUGCAGGAGACCCCAGCCCAGCCUCCAGAACAUCAUCAAGUAACAGUUCCACCUCCUGGUCACCAUCAAGUUCAACACUGAGAUUUGCCCAAUGUCACUGUUAAGCCUCCAAAUAUGCAGCUCACCAUAGCAACACAGCCUACUGCAGAGGUGGGAACUUCGCCAGUCCAUCAGGAGGCUACAGCUCAGCUCUCAGGGCCAGUUAAUGAUGUGGAACAUUCUGACAUCCAGCAUGGGGCCCCGCCUCUGCCUACAGAGUCAUCGGAAGAGACUGGACCUUUACCAGUUCAACAGGAGACUUCAGCUGAAUCUCCAGAACCUACUAAAGAUGAGAACCCCUCUCCAAUACAGUAGGAGGCUGCAGGUGAGCAUCCACAGACCCCUGAGUAGGUCGAGUCUUCUCCAACCCAGCAAGAUGCCCCAGCUCAGCCUUCAGAGCUCCCUAAUGAAGUUGUAGCUCAACCUCCAGAGCAUCACAGAGUAAUAGUUUCUCCUGUAAGUCAUGAGGAAGUUCAGCCUCCAACAUUUCACCAUGUCAUUGUUAAGCCUGUGGAUCACAUGGUUACCAUGACUCCAGAGUUCACCUAUCAGGUGGAAGUUUUAACUCAACACAGGGCCCCAGCUCAGCCUUUAAUAUCCCCUGAGCAGUUUAAACAUUUGAAAGACCAGCAAAAGAUUAUCAUUCAGCAGCUAAAUACCCCUGGAAAUGAUGAACUUCCGCCAAAUCUAUCAAGAGCCCAUGACUCCAUCUCCAACUCAGCUCUCCUCAGACAUUGUAAGUUCGUUUAAUUGUAAGAUGGUAUUUUCAUCUCUAGAUGUGUCUUCCGUAUUCAGAAGUAGUUCAACUUUGCCUAAUACCACAGUUAAAUAUGUGAAUAUUGGCCGGGCAUGGCGGCUCACGCCUGUAAUCCCAGCACUUUGGGAGGCCAAGGCAGGCAGAUCAUGAGGUCAGGAGAUCCAGACCAUCCUGGCUAACAUGGUGAAACCCCGUCUCUACUAAAAAUACAAAAAAUUAGCCAGGUGUUGUCGCAGGCGCCUGUAGUCCCAGCUACUCAGGAGGCUGAGGCAGGAGAAUGGCAUGAACCCGGGAGGCAGAGCUUGCAGUGAGCCGAGAUCGCGCCACUGCACUCCAGCCUGGGCGACAGAGGGAGACUCCAUCUCAAAAAAAAAAAAAGGAUCUAGCAUAAGUAUGGACUAAUUUUUUUAUCUUGCCUGAAUUCCUAUCUAAGGGGUCUGAGGAGUCAUGCCCUACAAAUCGUAAAUUCUCAUCAGAUGGGUCUUAUUUAACCCUAUAUAUCAUGAUUUACUUUCCAGCCUGACCGUGUCAUAACAUUGCAAGACAAAGAAAAUCAAAAUAUUUUACCCCAAAACAUGUUAUUUUGCCAUAUUUUUGAAUGGCCCUGCAAAGCUUCUCUUUGUGGGAGAAAUUUUGUAUCUGUAAAGCAUCUCUAUUAACAUAGCUAGAUCUUUUUCUUCUAGAACCUCCCAAUCCUAAAGAGAUUCACUAAGAUCUGAAUAGGAAACAUUUGUCACCUAUUUCUCUAAGGGCAGCCACUAUAAGACUUCAAAAGAACUUUGGUCUCCACAAUCUUUAUCGUAACCUGAACAUUCCCUUUCUAUCUAUCCCAGGUCUUGAGACAAACUCAACCUUAAUUGUCAAUCAGAAAAUGUUUAAAUUCACCUAUAGCCUGAAAGCCCCCAACUCCACUUUGAGUUGUUCCACCUUUCUGGACCAAACCAAUGUAUUUCUUAAAUGUAUGUGAUUGAUGUCUCAUGCCUCUCUAAAAUGUAUAAAACGAAGCUACGCCCUGACCACCCUGGACACAUGUUCUCAGGACUUCCUGAGGGCUGUGUCAUGGGCCAUGGUCACUCAUAUUUGGCUCAGAAUAAAUCUCUUCAAAUAUUUUACAGUUCAACUCUUUUCAUCGACAUACGGACACUUGAAGUGAAGAAGCAGAGGAAAGAGAAUGAAGUGGGAAAAAUAUAAAGAAAUAAUUACAGAAAACUUCCCAAAUUUUCUGAAAGGCUUGAAUUUACAAAUUCAAGGUCAGCAAACCCCAUAUAGGAUUGAUUCAGAGAAACCUAUACUUAGGCAUAUCAAAGUCAAACUGCUGAAAGCAAAAAAAGAGAGAAUUUUGAAAGCAGGAGAGAAAAGUGGCACAAUACAUAUGGGAAAACAACUAUUUGAAUAACUGAAGACUUUUUUUUUUUUUUUGAUGGAGGGCCAGAUAGGUGGAUUCAAAGAUUUUCUGAUUGGCAAUUGGUUGAGUUAUUACCUAAAAACCUGGAAUCAUUAGAAAGGAAUGUCUAGGUUACCAUAAGGGGUUGUGGAGACCAAGCUGUUAUCAUGCAGAUGAAGCCUCCAGGUAUCAGGCUUCAGAGAGAGUAGAUUUUAAAUAUUUCUUAUCAGACUUCAAGAGUCUGUUCUAUCAGUCUUAAGAUCUUUUUGACGUGAAUGGUAACAAGGCGUGUCUGACUCCCCCCUUCCGAUCAUGACCUGAACUAGUUUUUCAGGUUAACUUUAGAAUGCCCUUGGCCGAGAGGAGGUGCCCAUUCAGAUGGCUGAAGGGCUUCAAAUUUUAUUUUUGGUUUACAGCCCAUUCUUCAUCAAACCUAAGCAUAAAAAAACAGCAGUUUUCCCCUGGGUAUCUGUGUCAUUUCUGAAGGUUCCAGUGUCACGCAAGACUUUGAUUUUUAAAAUUAAAUAAAUUUGUUAUGCUUUA